AGGCAUACAAGACCCUAACUUCAUUGAAGGGUGUGACUGCCUUUGGAUUUGAUUUGGUUCGUGGCACCAAGACCCUUGAUUUGGUCAAGGCAGGUUUCCCUGAGGGAAAGUACCUCUUUGCUGGUGUUGUUGAUGGAAGGAACAUCUGGGCCAAUGACUUUGCUGCGUCUCUCAGCACCUUGCAGGCACUUGAGGGCAUUGUUGGUAAAGGUAAUUGUUCUUCCAAAAUCAUCUGCCUUUUACCUGACAUUACUAGGGAAUUAUUCAAAAACAAAUAUAUGGAAUGUUGAUCUGUUGUCUAUCUGAUGCAGACAAGCUUGUGGUCUCAACCUCCUGUUCUCUUCUCCACACCGCUGUUGAUCUUAUCAAUGAGACUAAGCUUGAUGAUGAAAUCAAGUCAUGGCUGGCGUUUGCUGCUCAGAAGGUUGUUGAAGUGAACGCAUUGGCUAAGGCUUUGGCUGGUCAGAAGGAUGAGGUAUUUUACCCGCAUGCUUCUCUAGUAGUGGACCCUUGAAUUAUCUGUACUGUAAAUGAGCGAAAGUACUAGAACUCAAUAUUUUUUCUCUUUCAGGCCCUUUUCUCUGCCAAUGCUGCGGCUUUGGCUUCAAGGAGAUCUUCCCCAAGAGUCACCAACGAGGGUGUCCAGAAGGCUGUAAGUUUGAUGUCAAACUGAUGCACUGUUCUCACUCAAUGAUUUAUUUUCCUAAUCUUGUAUUCAUUGAGAUAGUUUCUUAUUCUUGUUAUCUCAGGCUGCUGCUUUGAAGGGAUCUGACCACCGUCGUGCAACUAAUGUUAGUGCUAGGCUAGAUGCUCAGCAGAAGAAGCUCAACCUCCCAAUCCUGCCAACCACAACCAUUGGAUCCUUCCCACAGACCGUAGAGCUCAGGAGAGUUCGCCGUGAGUACAAGGCGAAAAAGUUAGUCUCCUGAAUUUAGUCCUUGGGCUUAUGCGUUACACAUUUCCUUAAAUUGUUGUGAUGCUAACGGUUUCUCUAAUCUCUCUUAUACUAGGGUCUCUGAGGAGGACUACGUUAAGGCCAUCAAGGAAGAGAUCAAGAAAGUUGUUGACCUCCAAGAGGAACUUGACAUCGAUGUUCUUGUCCACGGAGAGCCAGAGGUGAGUUUUUUAUUCUAUGUUUUUGCCUGAAGCCUUGAAGUGGAGGGAAUGUACAAAAGUUAUUUCUGGUAGUCCUUUUUACUGUUUCUGAUGAGACAUAUUUUCACAAUUUUGUAGAGAAACGACAUGGUUGAGUACUUCGGGGAGCAGUUGUCUGGUUUUGCCUUCACUGCAAACGGAUGGGUCCAAUCUUAUGGAUCUCGCUGUGUGAAGCCACCAGUUAUCUACGGUGAUGUGAGCCGUCCCAAGGCAAUGACCGUCUUCUGGUCCGCAAUGGCUCAGAGCAUGACCUCUCGCCCAAUGAAGGGUAUGCUUACCGGUCCCGUCACCAUUCUCAACUGGUCCUUCGUCAGAAACGACCAGCCCAGGUACAUAAUGUUACCAUAAUCUAAAAACAAAUAUGACUACCAAAUAAAGAACAAAACACUAAAACAAUCUUGGAAUCAUUGUAGGCACGAAACCUGUUACCAGAUCGCUUUGGCCAUCAAGGACGAAGUCGAGGAUCUUGAGAAAGGUGGAAUCGGUGUCAUUCAGAUUGAUGAGGCUGCACUUAGAGAAGGACUACCACUCAGGAAAUCCGAGCAUGCUUUCUACUUGGACUGGGCCGUUCACUCCUUCAGAAUCACCAACUGUGGAGUCCAAGACAGCACCCAGGUUUGCUUAUAUAAAAACUUCUCAUAUCAAGUCUCAUGUAGUGUAAUGAUUUCUCAGUUGCUCAUAACUUGUGUGUUUCUGUUGUUUUUUUUGCAGAUCCACACUCACAUGUGCUACUCUCACUUCAAUGACAUCAUACACUCCAUCAUCGACAUGGAUGCUGAUGUCAUCACCAUUGAGAACUCCAGGUCUGACGAGAAGCUUCUCUCCGUGUUCCGUGAAGGAGUGAAGUACGGUGCUGGAAUUGGUCCAGGAGUCUACGACAUCCACUCUCCAAGAAUACCAUCUUCUGAGGAAAUCGCAGACAGGGUGAACAAGAUGCUUGCUGUCCUAGAGCAGAACAUCCUUUGGGUUAACCCUGACUGUGGUCUCAAGACCCGUAAGUACACCGAGGUUAAGCCUGCGCUCAAGAACAUGGUUGAUGCGGCCAAGCUCAUCCGCUCCCAGCUCGCCAGUGCCAAGUGAAGAUAACCUUGAUUUGAACAAGGAAAACGUCUUUUUUUUUCUAAAAUGGUUGUGUUUUAUUUGGUUUAAUAACUUUCUUAAAAAUAUCUUUAGUCGAAGUUAGAUUUGAUGCAUAUGGUUUCUUUCUUGUUGAGAGAGAGGGAUGAUAUGGCAUCCCCUGGAUUUGCUGCAAUGUUUGUGAUUUUCUUUUUGUCUCCAAUAUAUUUCUCUGAUGGAAUGUCUUUUUUUCUAAAGUCUCUUGAAAAGGAAUAAGAGGAUUGAUUCUUAUACAAAUACUUUUGCUUGCGUCGUCCACUUGUCCUAAACUCUCUACUUUUUUUCCAACGCAAUCAGUGCUUUGUAGCCUGUUCUUUAAGUAGACCCCUUUGUAUGUCUCUAUCUGGCUUCUGUAUCAGAUUGUUUCCAUUAAAUUUCUUUAUUGGCAGAAAAAAAAAUCUGAAUUGCCCCCACAAAGAGCGUGGUGGCUGAUGUUUGGUUGCAGUCUCACGGUCCACCACUUCUGACUCGAAGAUUUCUUUCCCUUGGAGAACAUCUUCGUUGAUGUUUAUGUAUCAUUGGAUUUGGAGCCAAGUAGAAAGUUUUGUUUUUAGUAAAGCUUUAUGAUUCUGAGAUUGUAUGUUCUCAGGUUUUGUCGUAAUAAAUCAAGUCUGUUUGAGUUCAAACAAGAAAAAGAUUGUAGCUCGGUCUCUAAGAAAAGUUCUUGCUCAUUUACAUUUUUAAAUAUUUAUUUCUCUCUCUAAGAUAGUGUGAAAUUAACCAAGUUGCUAAAUCAAAAUCAAUUAGUGUAAAAGAACAUCAACCUUCUAAGAUCGUUUUCAAGACGUUUUUUUUAUCAAAGAUGGUGGAUGAUGAAUCAUAGAAAGUAGAAACUUUAAUUAAGUUAGAAGAAAGUGUGUACAACAACAUAAAGACGCUAUGACAUAAUCAGAGUGAACUCUUAAGAGCUUCAAAAUUGUUGGUCUUAGCACACUGAUUGCAACAACCGAAUCACAUGAGCAAUCCUUCUGCGUUGUUAAGAGCUUCUUUCGCUUUCCUGAAUUUCCCAGAGAUCGCCUUAUUAGUUUUCACAACAUAUUCCUUCACAAAGAACUUGAUGCCAUCGCGCAGACCUUCAUAGUCUGGAUUCAAGGCUAUGCGUGUGAACAAGUUCCACACAAGAUUCUCGGGGUGCUCAAAGAUGGCCUCAAACAGCAUUCGAAAGUGCAUAAUUCGUUUUGGAGUUAACUCCACUGGAUUUGCCAAGUCCACGGAUUUGAGGACCGCAAGAGAAAGAUUGAAGGUCACAAUAAUCUCUGCCACAAAUUUCGCAAGAUGCAUCGAUCUCUGAAGUGACAUCGACUCUAGUUCUUUAUAAUGGUCCCAAAUGCAAUACUGCAGGAAAAAACCCACAAGAUGAUAAGAGAAAAAAGAAUGGUUACAUAAACCGGCUUCGUAACUAUAAGAUAGUAGAAAAGUACCUGCAGUGUAAACUUAUGAUUUUUGUCGUGCUCGCACAACUUUGAAGCAAGGACUGUGUAGUACUUGUUAAAUGCUUUCUCCUGUAAACAGCACUCAACUAGAACCCUCAUGAUCUCUCUGUCCUGUUUUCCUGGCAAAUCCAAUCUAAGAAGUUUCUCGAAUGCAUCAAUGUAGUCCUCACUACUCAUGAUCACACAAAAUAUAGCUUUUCUGGAAUCUGUAUUCAUCCUCUGUGCUUCAGCUAGCUUUAACAUUUUCUGAGCCUCAACAACCUCUGCAUCCAUUGUUUCUGCUACAUCUUCAGCGGUGUGUGAGUCAACCACCAAAUCGCCAGAUAUCCACCACUGACCCUUCUUCUCGGGGUCAAGCAGCUUGCUCCAUGUAAGCCCUCUUAACAAUACAUCUUCCACUCUCAACUGGGUAAAUUAUACAAAAAAAAGGACAAAAACAAAUGCAUUUUACUCAAAACUAACUAAUCCAAAAGCGACUGGUAAUAAGCAGAAGCGUACAUGUUUAUGAUUGUCAUGAAGGAGUCCAUUUUAUAAGGAAUAGAGCGCUAAAAUAUUACCUUUUGAAGCCACUUCUUUACCCUUGUGUUCUGGACGGAAUCCUCUUUAGCUCUCAACUUGUUGUUCUUUAUUGCAGAAAUGGUUUCAAGCAUCUUUUCCAUCUGCAAAUUCAUUGUACAAAUAACUUUAAAAAUCAUAGUAUAACAUUUUCUCCAGAAGACAAUUUUUCAUAUAAUCCAUACCAUCAUGUUACUCAUUUGUGUCUGGCCAUCGGAGGAGGUUUUCAAUUCAUUUGCCUUGUUCUGGAUGCUGAUGAUGAAUGUUUUCAUAGCCAAAGGAUCAUCACUUCUUAUUUUCAUUCCACAACCUAUCCAGAGCAUUAUCAAGAUAUGAGAGACGGAACAUAAACAUCUCAAAAAACCUUAAGUGGCCAUCGAAAGAUAAUAAUGAUAAUAAUAGAACUUACAAUCUAAAACAGUUGUGAUAGUGAAAGCAUCAACUUUAGUCAGCCGUUUCCCCAAUGUCAUUAGGAAAUCAUAAAUAAGAUCACUGCAAAACAAAUAUAGAGAGAUUCGAGAUUCAUAUUUCAUCCAAGAAAAUAACCAAAAAUAUCAUUUUUGUUUCUGUUAAGUGAGAGGACUAGAGAUUGGGUUGGGUGUUGGGUAAAAACAUAUUAAACAAAUCGCUGUAAGAAAAACUAAAAUCCAUAAUACAUGAAAAUCACUCAAAUGUGUGUUUAGAUUAUCGGUCUAACAACCUGAUAAGUAAACAGCAUUCUUGGUUCAAUUCUAGAAAUUUAAAAACAGUGGGGAAUAACUACACUUGCUCUAGAUCAAACUGAACUAUGUGUAGCUGAAGAAAAUUUUACCUGGAGCAAACUCCCAAUAUGCAAAGAUAAGAAAGCAAAAGAGAAAUCCCAUUUAAAGAGAGACUGUCUUCUUUCUGAUAUUCAUCCUGAAAAUAAAUUAAGGACUUGUUAGUAAGCACUAUUUCAAGCAAGGUGGUGACAUAUAUUGUGGAAAACAAAAUCUUAAACAAAAUCGAGAAUUUAGCUUACAAUUCAUGUAGGAAGAACUCAGGGACAUACCUCGAAAGAUUUAGCAAGUGAUGCAAUAAGCUUUGCACUAAAAUCCAUUCCAACUAGACACGCCAUGCCAGCUAUGAAAGAAGCAAAUACAGCGUACCUAAACAAGGAAAAACAAAUUGUUCAGCAAUAUCUCGACUAAUAUGGACGUCAAUGUAUUCAAGUAGUUCCACACAUGACUAUAGGGCUAGCAGUAACAUGAGCGGACACUCAGAAAGUUGUAAAGAUCUUAACUGUUCAUUGCCUCUCGCAUAAGUUGUCAAAACUUCUUCACAAAAAAUCUGAUAGGACACACUUCUCGCAACAGACUGCAUUAACAAAUGCUACAGGGGUUACAAGAAGUAAAGAUAAUAUGAAAGAACAAUAACAAAAUGGAGUUGAAGCAACUUCAACAAUGAAAUCUAGGAUGAUUUGAUAAUCUCAAGAUAUCAACCAUGCAGCUAUCAAACAAUUCUAGAGGAAAUAAUGCGAAGGAUAUUUGAGCUUACACGAUAUAUUGAGGCAAGUUCUGCAGUUAUUGUUUCAACAUUGGAUUCAGCCAUCUUAUUGAGAAGACCUGUAACACAAACCAAGCAUAUCAAACUAAGAUUACAGAAUUAGAAACACACAAAGGAUAAAAAGCUUUUGUUAGCUAUACCUUUUAUCCGUGUACGCAUUUUAGUGAGUUCUUCAGAUUCACUUUUGGCCUGAGAUCUCAAAUGAGGAGCAACAUACUUGCUGCUACUCUCUGGCUUAUGCUCGUGCAAAGGAGGUUCUACUUUCUCCAAGCUUGACGGUGAAUCGUGAUAAGUAAUAGUCUCUGACUCACCAUCACCUGUGAUAUUCAUCGGAUCACUUUCUAGAUCUUCAUCUACAGACUUCUUCUUCUUAUGCCGUUUACGGUCUCUUUUUCCUGCAGGCUCUUCAGAAAAAUCAGAUUCUUCACGCUCCAAAUCUUCAUUUGGUAGCUUAUCGACAUCCUCAUGGUCAUGUUUUUCUUCGGAUCUCUUUUUCUUACGUUUCUUACGAGAAUCACCAAGUUCAGAUUCCAUCGAAUCAAGUACAGAUGGAAGUCCUUCGAACAAAUCGUUCAAUCCAUCAUCCAAGCCCCUUAGUUUUCCUUUCUUUACCUUGAGCUUCUUUGCGAGCCUUCUCUCAAGUUCAGCAUCCUGGUCACCAGAUAUCACAGUUGGUGUAUCCAUUUCAAGAAACUCUUCAAAUUUAGUCUUCUUCUUUGGUCUAUUCAGAUCCUUCAUUCUCUGUACUCUCUGCAUCUUCUUCUCCUUUGAUUUGACUCUAACCUCUUCUUUCUUAUGUAUAAAAGACUUUCCAUCAUCCUUGUUUCCGCUAGGCCUACUUGAUUCCAUAUGUUCAGUUUCACUAUUACUUAUCUGUUGAAAAUUUUCAGACUUGAUCACCUCACCAGUCUUCUGAGCUGAUGAUGAGACUCGUUUCUCCUUUUCGGACUUCUGAGAUCCAGCAAACCAACAUUAUCCAUCAACAAACAAUUAAACAAGAAAACUACACCUUAGUUAAAUAAAACAAAGAUUGGCUCAUACCUGACGCUGAAGCCAAGAUUCAUGUUUUUUCUGGUUCUUCUGCAAGCGAGCUUCUUUUCGCUUUUCAUGGCGUGAGCUCCCUGGCGAUCAUCAAAAACAAAUAAAAGGAGUUUUCUUCAAAAUACUAGCUCCAACAGAAAAAUAGCUAAGAGCAUUACUAAGACAAAAUAUCAGCUUACCCAUGUUUAGCUGGCCCAAUAGAUUCUCUGCAAACACCUAAAGAAGAUAAAAAUUAGAACUUUAGCAUUAAGCUGAAUAAGUUACAGUUUUAUAUAACACUGACUCCGAAAUCAUUGCAGUUGUAGAGCUAAACCCUAGUUUUAUUAAACCUUAAAACUUAAGCAUUCACAGCAAUUCAACAAAACAAUGAAACUACGCCGACAAUGUAAGUUUCAAAAUCUAUAAUUGCACAAAACUAAAUUGAAAACGCCACUUAGAAAUCGAAAUAAUGAUCAGCAGACCCAAUGUAGAAUGAAGCAAAGCAAAGAAGAAAUCGACAGAAUCCAAAUCAAAAAUCCACAUAGAAAGAUGGAGCAAUACUUGAAAGACGAGAAUUGAUUCGAAUCUUGUUCGUGUUGGCUCUCUCUAUCGCUGUGAUUAAAGGAAGUAGGAAACGAAACCUGAAAGGAGUGGGUUUUUUAAAUUAGGGUUUUUGUGGAAUUUUUAAAGUUAUAACGAAGAUGGAGAAACAAAGCCCGCCAAGUUAUUGGGCCUAAAAACCAAGAUGCCAAAUUUUUGGCCAUUUCGUUUUCUUUACUUCUUUUGUGGUUGAUGUUUACUCUAAACUAAAACCAAACACAACGUGAAAAUUUCUUUUGUUUAUAAACUGCGUGUUGUGUCCACAAGAUUGAAAUUAUAAGACCAUGUACACCGGUGAAACAAAUAGAGUAUCAAAAGCCCAAAUAUAUUUUUUUAAUGGAUCAGACACAAUUUUUGGGCUUGAUCCGUAUCACUGGGGUGAGACUUUUGAUACCCAGUAUCAUUGACGUGGCGGCUUCUUAUUGGUUCCGAAAACGAGUUUCUUUUUCUAAAAACAGGAAAAAAAAAAAAAAAAAUUCUCAUUCUUCUUUUCUCGCUAACCCUAGAAACGCGAUAGAGAAAACGAUUUCUUCUCCUCCGCCGAUCUCCUGCCUCCGCUCCCUCCGAUUCUUCUCCGGUUUCAUCUCCGGUUUCAUCUCUUCGAUUCUAUUUCACCUCUCCGUUUCUUCUCCGGCUUCAUCUCCUCGAUUCUAUUUCACAUUUCCUCGGGCGAUUUUCGAUUUCUUCUCACCUCCGCCGAUCCUAACGAGCUUUGAUUUGUGCUUCUCUCCUCUCCUCCGCUCCUUCUGCUGUUAAGGCCAGUAAUAAGCCUUUGAAAGGUAUGAACUUUGGUUCCCUUUUACCUUAAAUGCUUUGGUCUUGUCUUUCUCUGUUACAUAACGAGUUUGGUCUUGAAAGUUUGCAUUUUUAUAUCUAUGUUUCUCCUUCUGAUAUGUCUGAUGGAAGUAUUUGUGUAAUUUGUUUGUCUCAUGAACCCGUAAGAUUGGUUUGGGAAUAUAGGUCUUAGAAUUCGAUAGGUGUUAUUUGUCUAUCUCUGUAGUAUAUUUCAAUCAUGAAUUCAAAACCUUUAAUGAUGAGAUUGAACGUUUUAUUGAUAAAAACUUUGUUUGCUGCUUCUCUUUAGGUAAGAGGGAGCCUGAAGAUGAUGUUGAUACUAAAGUGAGUCUUAAGAAGCAGAAGGAAGACGUGAUUGCUGCUGUACAAAAGUAAAAAGCUGUGAAGAAGGUGACUAAGAAGGUUGAGAGCUCUGAUUCAUCAGAUUCUGAAUCUGAGGAAGAUGAGAAGGUAUAACUUUUACUAUCUUAAUUUAUUUUUGUUGGUUUGAGCAUGUGAAUUGAGUUAUUUCUAAUCAGCUUUAAUACAUCUGACAGGCUAAGAAAGUUCCAGCCAAGAAGGCUGCAACCAAGAAGCAUGCUGCGGCUGCUGCUAAAAAGGCCAAGGUCUGAGAGUUCGUCUGAAGAUGAUUCAUCCUCUGAUGAGGACUCAGAUGAUGAUUCUGAGGAUGAGGUGAUAAAUUUUUCUGUUUGUUGAUCACUUAUUUCACUUAUGAAUUGUGUUUUACUAUUACUAAAACUAGUUGUAUUUGUUUAGUUUAAAUAGAAGGCUGUUGCUACCAAGGCUGCAAGCAGUUCAGAUUCAUCUGAUGAAGAUUCUGAUGAGGUUAGCUUAACAUAUUUGAUUUGAUAGUCUUAAAAUUCUUUUCAAACAACUUUGUAUUUUCUUUAUAUCAGUCAUUGACAUCAUCCAUGUGUCUGUUGAUAUUUGCAGGAAAGUGAAGAUACUACUGAAUGUCUUCAUGGUGCAAUUGUUGUGGAGAAGAUGCGUAGGUGAAAGGUACACUCCUAAAUUGCUUUAAUUGUUAAUUUCUGUGUGUGUAAAAUUGAAUUGAAUUGAGAUUAGGAACAAUGAAAUUAAAUAGAAACUGACCACUUUAAUUUAGUAGAGAUUAGAUAGAUGUGGUUGAGAAUGUAGUUGUCUUUAAAUGAAUCAAUGAAUACAGAAAAAGUAGAUAGUGAAUUUAUUGUGAUCUCUUUAACAAUAGUUUCUCUGAAGUUUAAUGUAUUUGUGGCGUUGGUGAUGAGAUGGAGUGAAUUUAAACAGAAAAAAAAAAUUAAAUGCAACUGAACUUAAACUUAAAGUUCAAUAAAAUGGUGAUGAGACAUUAGCCAUCUAAAUUAAAGUUAUGUUGAUGGCUAGUGUCUCAGUAACUUGAAUUAGUAUUGUGUUUGUUAUUUAUUGAGGCUUUUCCUUUAUAAUGUCGACAAUGAGAACUAAACAAACCACUUAAACUCUUCUAAAACACAAAAUGGCUUCCAACUUAAACUAUUCCUCCUCUCAAUCCUUCACCAAUCUCUUGUUUAGCCAAGAAGAUAACCCAACGCCUCUCAGUCCUUCACAGCCUCCUUUUUCUGAAUCCCAAACACCCACAUCCUUAGCUAGGGCGUCUAGAGUGAGAUGGAGUGUUCCUGAAGAGAAGGCACUUGCAAGUGCCUGGCUCAACACAUCCAAAGACUCUGUUGUGGGGAAUGAGCAGAGAUCAGCUGCCUUUUGGGAUAGGGUUGCAGCAUAUUAUGCUGCAUGUCCUGCUGUCUCUAAGCUCACCAUCCGAGAGCCAAAUACUUGUAAGCAGAAAUGGCAAAAAAUGAAUGAGCUUGUGAUGAAGUUUGCAGGCUGUUAUGAGUUUGCCUCUCGGACUCCUCGCAGUGGAGAGAAUGAAGAUGACAUUAUCGUGCUGGCCUACAAGCUUUACCAUCAAGAUCAAAAAAACAAAUUUAGUCUUGAGCAUGUUUGGAGAAUCCUCAAGACUGAUCAGAAAUGGUGCAAUUGGUGUGAGACCAAACUUCCUGCCAAGAAGAAAGCUAAACUUUCAUCUGUAGAAGAAGAGAGUCUCCAAAGGCCUAUAGGUGUGAAGGCAGCCAAGGCUUUAGCCAAGUCUAAAGGUAAGGGAAAGAGUGAAGGAGGAGCUGACGCUAGUUCUGCUGCUGAACUUCAGCUUUUGUGGGAAGUGAAAGAGAAGGAUUUGGCUUUCAAAGAGAGACUCUCCAAGCAGAAGCUACUUGACAGCCUUCUUGGAAGGUCUGAUGGAUUGAGUGAGAUGGAAAUUGAACUUAAGAACACUCUUAUCAAAGAGUAUCUGUCUGGAAGCAAUGUGUUUGUUUCUGAGAAUGAAUAUUCUGGUCUUUAGGUAUGUGUUGUUAGUUAAGUUGUUUUGUUUACUUAAUAUGUCAUAUGAUUUGAUUUUCUUUUGCUUAAUUAUGUGCAGGCCCUCCUCUUGGAAGCUAGUGAUGUCGGCAAGGAAUGGAUUGAGUGGUUCUUUUGCUUUAUUGUAGUGUACUGUGACUGUUUUUACUCGGAUGUACUUUGUAAGCAGAAGCCACUUGUUUUUUGUUUUGGUAUGGCACAAUGUAUGGUCGGCAAGUGGUUGUUUUUCUAUGGUCAGAACCUAGUUGUUUUUAUUUUGUAUUGUAUGAAUGAAUGUAUUAUUUUCGACAAUGUAUGGUCGGCAAUGUUUUACUUUAUAUUGUAUGAUGCACAAUGUAUGAUUUUAUAUUCUCUUAUAUAUAUGUCUUUGUGUUCUCAUAUUUCUCAAUACAACUCUCAUAACGAUUCUUCCUCUUUCUCAUAUUCCUCUAAAAACAAGUCUUUCUUCUAUUUCUCUAAAAACAAGUCUCUUUUAUUUGUUUGUUUUCUCUAAAAAUAUUUCUUUGUUUUUUUUCUCUAUAAACAAGUCUCUUUUAUUUGUUUUCCUUCUCUAAAACCAAUUCUCUUUCAAUUGUUUUCCUUUUCAAAACACAAAUCUCUUUUUAUUUUUUGUACGUUUUGCUUCUUAAAAAGUAAUGGCAUCACAUUCUCAUGAUCAUGACUCUUUUGAUGAUAUUAUAGAGGAAAGGAUUGAAAAUUGUUUUGAAGAUGGUUUAGAUAAUUACAGUAGACGUAUAGCGGGAAAAAAAAAGAAAAAAAGGGCUGCUAAUAUAGAGAGAGAUCGGGAAGAAGGAAAUAUUCGAUUAUGGAAUGAUUACUUUUCGGAUGACCCCGUUUACCAUGAUCGCAUGUUCCGACGGCGAUUUCGAAUGACCAAGCCGUUGUUCGUUCGUAUUGUUCAAAGUCUUUCUCAAUUUCCAUAUUUCCAACAAAGGGAGGAUGCUACUGGGAAGCAAGGUCUAUCUGCCCUACAGAAAUGUACUGCCGCAAUUAGGCGUCUGGCAUAUGGUCUUGCAAACGAUGCGAUGGACGAAUACCUCCGCAUGGGCGCAACCACUGUGAGCCAAGCACUAGAGAAUUUUGUAGAUGGCAUAAUAAAUUUAUUCCAAGAUGAAUAUUUGAGGCGGCCUACACGUGAGGAUCUAGAACGAUUACUUCAUUCUGGAAAGGAACGUGGAUUUCCGGGAAUGGUAGGAAGCAUUGACUGUAUGCAUUGGGAGUGGAAGAAUUGUCCUACGGCUUGGAAAGGACAGUAUUCACGCGGACAUGGAAAACCCACUAUUGUUUUAGAGGCCGUGGCAUCACAAGAUUUAUGGAUUUGGCAUGCUUUUUUUGGGGCUCCAGGUACGUGUAAUGAUAUAAAUGUUCUUGACCGCUCACCGGUGUUUGAUGAUAUAUUAGAAGGUCGAGCUCCACGACUCACGUACGAAGUCAAUGGACAUCAAUACAAAAUGGGUUAUUACCUCACAGAUGGUAUAUAUCCGAAGUGGGCAACAUUCAUCCAAUCAAUUACCUGCCCACAAGGACCGAAAGCAUCAUUAUUUGCUAGUUGUCAAGAAGCAGUGAGAAAAGAUGUCGAGCGUGCUUUUGGAGUCUUGCAGGCUCGGUUUGCUAUUAUUCGAAACCCAGGUCUGUUUUGGGAUAAAGAGCGAAUGGGCAAGAUAAUGAGAGCAUGUAUCAUAUUGCACAAUAUGAUUGUAGAAGAUGAACGAGACGAAGAUACUCAGUUCGAUUUAUCUGAUUUCGUAGAAGGCGAAGGAAGCGGGACUUCUCAAGUAGACAACUCUUUUUCUACAGAGACAGCUACAAAUGUGAACAAUUUGAUGGCCAAUCGAGCUCAAAUACGUCAUGAACAAACACAUCGACAAUUGAAAGAAGAUUUGAUUGAACAUAUUUGGCAAAAAUGGGGCCAAGGUAAUUGACUACAAGCGACUAAAUUAUUUUUAUCAUCAUGUUUUUUUUCAUUUUUUUUGAAUUUUAUGUUUUAUUUUGCUUUAUAUUCUACGUUUUUUUUUUUUAUUGUAAUAUUACAUUUUGUAAUCCUAUGUUUUAAUAUAUUUAUUUUUGAUUUUGCAAUUUUUUUUUUUUUAUGAUAAUUAAACCAGUCUCACCAAUGCAAACAUAUUUAGUAGGAGUAUCAUAAAAAAUCUCAAACAAUAAACAAACAUUAUAAAUAAUACUAAAAAAUUCCUAAUGAUACUAAAUGGGUAUCACCCAUGUAUAUGCUCUAACAAAUGAAAUUAUAAGCUGGUGGUCCAACAUAACCUUAUAGACAUUAAGCGUACCAAACAGUGCAUGCUGAUUCCUCUUUCCCUAGAUAUAGAGAUGAGACCCAUAUCAGCUAGGGUUUGUAUCCCUUUCUCCACGUCCCAAUCCUUCUCCGAAAGCGAGAAUAUGGCGUCUUUCACGUUCACACCAAAGCUUAUAUUUUCAGUUAACAGAUUAAAUAAUGUUUUGUGUUUCUCAGAUAAACCAUCAUAUGCAUAUCUUAUUGCUUUCUCAAUUUCCUUGUCGUCAAUAUAAGUUUCGAGUUUAGCUGGUGUCAUUAGCCACUCCUCUUUGCUCUUCCCACGUAAAGCCGAUCCUAAAACCUUGAGACCAAGUGGAAAAGGAGCAACAAACUGCGCUACUUCGAUGGCGUGCUCCAUGUAACCUCUUGGUGGAGAGCUUUGCCCAAACGCAGAGUAUGAGAAGAUUUGUUGAGCUUCUUCGCUUGAUGGGAAAGCAACUUUGUAUAUCUGAUUGAUCUCGUUCCUCCGAAAUGUAUUUAGAUUUACAUUCGUCACAAUAACCUUACUUCCGAAUCUAAGACCCUUAAUUAGAUUUCCUAAAGCUUGUAGCUCCUCGGAACAGGCAUCAUCAAGAAUGAGAAGGACUCUCUGGUGCUUUAACCUAAAUUGCGCCUCUUGUAAGUCGGGUAUCUUCAUUUCCCGAUGAUCUAAAACUCCAGAGAGUAUCUCUUUUUCCAAAUGGUUUUGCAAGCCAAUGUGGUCAAGUGUGAGCAAUAUCCUAUGCGUUUCCUCAAGAUUCUCCUUAUAAAAUUUAAGCUGGAAGUUGCAAGACACUUCUUUGUAUAAAGCUCUAGCUAUAGUGGUUUUGCCAAUACCAGCAGGACCCCAUAUUCCCACUAUCUUAACCUCAUCGGAUUCUAAGCAUAUCAUUGAUUUCAUAUUUUCUACAUGAGUUUCAAUUCCAACUAACCGAUCAAAGUCUGAAGACGGUAACUCGUUUAAAACAUCCAUGACGAUUUUCGAGAUCAUCGCCGCUUCACUAGCCCUACAAAAGACAGUUUCAUAUGAAGUGAGGACAGGACACUAUUAUAUCUCGAUACAAAACCUAAAAUAACUUCACCAUAAUGAAAGUUGGAAUAACUUCAUUACGAAAACAGUAUAUAUUACCAUGAAACAGAAUGUUCUCCAGCAAUAACCGCAACUUCAGUCAAAGCUUUUCUCCAUCUCUGCUUUUCUUCCUCUGUCUUCCCAUCACAAGUUUCCUCAAAGACUUUCCCGAAAUCUCCAGUCUGCUUUCUCACAUCAGACGGAUCCACAUCGUAGAAGAUUGUCAUAACAGUCUGUCCUAAAGUAACCCUGCACUCUAAAAUUAACUGCAACUCGUUUAGACACCAGCUCGAAGAGGCGUAGUUCUUAGAGAGGAUCACGACGGCAAUCCUUGACUCCCUAAUAGCUCUUACGAGCUCAGAGUUGAUAGAAUCGCUCCUCAUGAUCCCAUGAUCUACGAACGUUUUGAUUCCCUUGCCUUUCAACCCUUCAAGAAAGUGGCUGAGAAAGCUUCUGCGGACGUCUUGACCGAAAAAGCUUGGGAAGACGUCGUAACUGUAUUGACGUGUUGAUGAUGAUGGUGAAGAAGGAGGGAUGAAAGGAUGAAGAAAAUUGUAAUCAUCAGUUCUUGAUUCUUUCAAGAUCGACUUGAGAAUUCCUGCGAAGAACAUGUUUUUUUUUCUUUGUAACUCUGAGUGUACGAUGACCAAUAAUCAGAGCCGUGUCUAGAUUAACAGAGGCUGGAGGCGAAUAAAUUAAAACAAAAUUGUGUUAUUGUAAACAUUUUGGCAAUCAUCAAAACUAAAACAGAGCAACAAUAAUUAUCUUAGUUGUCUUUUAUUUUCUUGUCAUUUAAAUCAGAUUUUUUUUAAUCAAAUUUAUAGCCAACACAAGUAUAUAUUUGUACAUAGUUGGUCUCUUCAACAAAAAAAUAUAUUUUCAAAGUUAAGGGCUUUCAGAAAAAGAAGUAUACUUAUCUUUCAAAACCUCACUAUCUAUGUUUUGUCAUCUCUGUUUAUGGUUUGUAUAAUUUUGAAAAAUCCAUCUCGAUUAUUUCUUCAUAUACAUACUUGAAUAAAACCAUGACAUGUUAAUUAUGCAUUUUGAUAAUUUUUAAGAAAAAUUGGCCGUAGGACAAUGUUUACUUUUAAUUUACAUAGGGCGGCCAAUAAUAUAUUUGAAGAAGACUUUUGGACUUGGUAUUCGCCUACGUGAAUAGGUUCUACAUAAUAUAAGAGCCCCUACAAUUGAUUAAUCUUGUACGUGCUUACACGUUUUCAAAUUUCAGCUGAUGUUCAAUCAGUAAAAUAUGACAUUGCAACGUUCAAAAUCUUGCAAGAAAAGAGAGUUUUAAUCAAUAAACUUUAAUUUGUUUCUAAAACAACCAGUUUUACGGUUAGAUAAUGGACUAUGGAGUAUUCCAGUUGGGACAAUCAAAUUGUAAACUUACAUAGAACCGCCAACAGAAUAAGAGAACGUCCUGAAAACAUAGUCCUCAUCGGACUAGAACAGAAUUUGAAAAACAGAGGGAAUUAAACAAACACAUAAGCAAAUGCGGGAACUGAAGAAAACUCAAAAACAACUUGGUCCAACACGGUGCAAGCUGGUAAGUGUGUUCAACCAAAAAAGAGUAACAAAGAUGCGAUGCAUCAUAGAUACAAUAAGUAAAUAAUCUUCUAUAAACAUUUAUAAAGACACGAAGCACAAACAGUCCCCACAUCGACUUUGAAGUAAGUGGAACCCUGACAUCGAUCCUCACACCGGCUGCAAACCGGUCGAGUGCGACUCUUGUUGUCAAGAACUUCCACCAUUCUUCGAUUAUGAUAUUUGAAAGUGUUACCAGGCUUCAGAUAAACGUGAAAUCCAAAUAAGCAAUUACGAUGAAUAGUGAUGCAACAUAUGUUGCACGUGUAAAACCAUUCGGACGGAUUUACUUCCUUUUCGCAUUCUUCACACCAAUACUUGCCGUCCGUGUCUUCUCCAUAGCAAAGAGUGAGAGGAUGUUUAUCGUAUUUAUAGUGUAACUCAUUUGGAAUCGUAGCACACUCAUAACAAAUGGAAUACUCGCAAAGAGUACUACAUUGUAGACGAUUCUUGGUAAGACCUCUCUUACAACCAUUGCAGCGAAAAGGUUCAUGGUCGUAAUUGAAUGGAGCGAUGAAUAGAGGAUGUUCAUGGACUUUGUUGGUGCUAUACUCAGGAAUUAAAAAGCAGCAAACAUCUAUCUUAAACCAAUUAAUCUGGCAAUCCUUUUUAGUGCACUUAUACUUGAAACCAGUGGACAUUCGCGAACAAGCUGAACACUGCAGUUUACCAAUAUUGGGUAGAGGAGAUGGGUCGAGGACACGUGUCAGUCUAGAAAAUCGAAAUUUUGAAUUUAGUACCCUUUGUUAUACAUAUCUCGAGCCUAAAGAGUGCUCGAUGUGAAAUGAUUUAUUUGGAUCUUAACAUCAUAGAAAAUUAGAAACAAUACAGCAAUUAAACCAAAACUAAAAGAAACUUUGCAACAACUAAGAUUUGCACAAACCAAAAGAUUUGCCAAUCAUAAGAACAUAAACUUAACUUUUUCCUUUCAGUUUAAUAUAUAUGUAUACAUUACAUGUAUACGUAUCUAACAGUGUUGUAAUUCUUACAUCUAACCUCAUUGAGGUUAGUUCACUCUUUCUUUAUGUCUCUCUCUUUAUCACACUAUGUUCUUGUUCUUGCUUAGAGAGGAACACAAGAAACGUUUUUGCUUUAAUCUUCUACAUUGUAUUAAUUGGAUCACAAGGAUACUCUUACACAACACACAUAACACAUACAUAUAGUGGUUUAUCUCCACUUGCUACUCUAGACACAUGAACCUUAAUCAUGACUCUUACACAAGCCAUACUCCUAAACACUAGGCUAACUAUUGACCUUACUUCUAGAUAGAAGUCAUACAAGCAACGUUUAACAACUCUCGUAGACUCUUACCACUCCUACUAACAACCAUUUAGACAAAACACUCUUCACUAGUUUGGGCCUUUUCACUUGUAGGCCCAUCACACCAAACAGAAAAACACCAAGCCCAACUUCCUUGUUGACUUGUCUUCUGUCGUUGACUCUCUUUGUCGACUUCUUCUUCUUCUCUUUGCUCUGCUAAAGCUUUCUCUUUGUUGCAGGUUUAAUCAAGGACUCAAUUCCCAACAAACAGGCAUACCCGAUGUAUGAUGGCUUUCAAAUAUGCAAACGUACGGAAACGGUACAUGCAAUUGAUCAAUAACGUACUGCUUAUGCAGAUACUCAAUGUAUAUUAGCUCGACUCCUGACCAUGAUAGUCCACAAUCUCUAUACUUGCAGGGAAAGGUGGUAUUGUUCUAAGGUUCUUACAACCCGCCAUUUCCAAUGAAACAAGCCGAGAACAUAACUUGAUUUGCGAAGGCACUUUCUCUAUCGCUGUUUCCCCAAGAGACAUGAAUUGAAUCUGCGUUGAAAUAAACGGAAACCUCUUCAGCUUCGAGCAUCCUCUCAGAUUAAGGACACUGAGGGAUUCCAAGUUGAUGUUGGUUGGAAGAGUCUUCAGUUUUAUGCAACAAGACAUGUCCAACACUUUUAGCUUAUUAAGAUUUUGUAAAGCAGAAGAAGGAACUGUGACCAAAUUUUCGCAGAACCUAAGAUACAACUUCUCCAGAUUUUUUGCUCUUGAGAGGUUUGGAAUAUCUCCAAUGUUUGUGGAUGCGCUCAAAUCCAUAUACUUGAGACUUGUCAGUGGCUGGAAACAUACACAGCCAGAUGAAAUAAACAGAGAGAAUAUUUUAAGAGGAUAAGAUUAUCCCAUUAGAAACUUUGAUAUGAUAAGCAUACCUGAAUACCUUCCCAAAGUUUCUCGAGCUUGCUAUCUCGCAUAGUAAGUUCGACAAGAAAUUCAGGACGAAACUUAGAGGGCAUACAUUUUAUAGGGUACGAAUCCCAAUGUAGUAAUCUAAGUUUACGUGGUAGAUAAUCUAAGCCGUGAGGUAAGUCAAACUCGGCUGCUUUAUCAGGAAUACUAUUGUAUAGCCUCAAGAAUUGGAGAUUAGGCAUUUUCUCAAAGGCUUUUUCACUUAUAUACACUUGACCAUCGAUUUCGGACAUAUCUAAUGAUAUUCCUAAAACAGUUUUUGUACCCUGCAUAUAUACCAAAAGAAAGAACGCAGUUAAUUAAUGAAACAUAUUAGCAAAAGUGGACAUUGUGAUGAGUAGGAACAUGGAAAGAAUGUGUCAACACUUACGGUUUCAUCUGCAAGUACAUCUGAAAUCUCCAAAGCAUCAACUAUAAACUUACCUUUCCCGGGGUCGUGGAGACAUUGUCCCCGAGUAAUUUCUUUACCCAUUUGUUGUAACAAACAAUGCAUUACUAUAUAUCCAUCAGCACAUAUAUGUAUAAGAGAUCUGUCAUUAAGGACUUUAAGUCCAAAUUCUGCAUCCAAUGCACUAAUUGCAAGCAAUUCCUUCACACGAUCAACCUUUUCGCCAUUGAACAAACACGCGAUAUGAAGAAACAGAGCCUUAUCUUUCUCAUCUAACCCAUCAUAGCAUGCUCCUAAUAGUUUUUCGAUUUUCCCAUUUAGACUGGUUCUAAGCCUAGGUAGCGCGUUUAUCCACUCAUCCUUUCUCAUCCCUCGCAAAGAUGCACCUAAAAUGCUGAGACCUAAGGGAAGAUCUCCAGCAAGUUUUGCAACUUCAACAGCUACAUCAUAGUAGCCUUCUGGGGCCGAGGUUUUUCCAAAAGCAAAUCGACAAAAGAUAUGAAAGGCUUCAUCUUUAGAUGGAAGACACACGUCAUAGACAUGAUCAAUCCCAUGAGCUUUCAAAAGCUGUUUAUCUUCUGUAAUCACAAUAACCCUGGUUCCAUUACCAAACCAUUGAGUUUGAUCUGCCAAGGCAUGUAGUUGUUCUACAUCAUCUACAUCAUCAAGAACAAUAAGAGCUUUCUGAUUCUUUAGCCUUUCUUGUGCUACACCUAAAUGGCUUAUAUUUAUAUUCCUUUGGUUGAACAUUUCAGAGAGAAAUCUUUCUUGUAAAUGCAGCUUCAGUCUGUAACCAUCAAGUUUGUUUCUCUUACUGCUUCUCUUAACAUUCUCCAUGAAAAGAUUUUGCUGAAAUUCAUCACCAUCAGAAGAAAGUUGAUUGUAUAAAGCUCUGGCAAUGGUGGUCUUACCGAUUCCAAUAGGACCCCAAAUCCCUAUCAUCCUCACGUCAUUAGACUGUAGACAUAACAUCGAAUUCAACUUCGCGACAUGAGCUUCCAAUCCAACUAAAUCGUCGAAAUCCUUUGAAGGAGUGCAGCAAUUCAGCUCUUCCGAAACAUCCGCAACAAUUUUCUCAAUCAUACUUGCUUCAUUGUCCCUAAUAGAUAGAAAAACCGUUGUGUCUAUCAAAUGAUUAUAAUGAAUCUCAAAAUUAUACAUAAAACGACAAACGAAAAGCAUAAAUAAAAAACAUGAUUUGUCUAUCAAAGAGAUGACCCAGCGAUUUUAUUUAUUACUGUGAUUAUUGCACUAACCAUUUUUCAGAGCAAUAGCCAGAGACAUUAGCAACAUCUGUUAAAGCUUGCUUCCAUCUCUGCGUCUCUUCAACUGUUCUUCCCAAGCAAGUUUUCUCAAAGACCUUCCCAAAAGCUCCUGUCUGUUUUCUAACAUCGGAUGGAUCCACCUCAUAGAAAACUGUCAGCAAUGUUUGUCCCACAGCUUCCCUGCAUUCCAUGAUCUCUAGCAACUCAUCCAAGCACCAGCUUGAACCAGCGUAGUUACUUGAGAGAACGACUAUAGAAAUCCUUGAUUCCCAGAUGGCUUGUUUAAGUUCAGGCCAUAUGGAUCGACUUCUCUUGAUUCCAUGAUCUUUGAAUGCAUUGAUUCCCCUAAGUUGUAGCUCCUUUUGAAGAUGGCUUAGAAAGUUCUUACGGACAUCUUCUCCGCAAAAGCUCGGAAAGACAUGGUAUCUCCACCAAUGAAAUGAUGAAGAAGAAGGAUAACAAACAGAGGAAUCAGCCAUGAGAAAGAUCUAAAAGAGAAGUUUUUAUUUUUAUUGACUCUCGCCAAUCAAAUCGGACAAUUAUCUCACGAACGAUGAUGCCAUUUUCAAGUGGGGAAUCUUGUAAAGUCAAUGACGCCGGCCAUCCUUUAAAAAUUUUCCACAUGCCAAUUUUUUUGCCACAUCCCAGAUUUUUUUUAAAAAUUAAAAAACGUACUCAAACAGGAAUUUGUCUUGGUCGUGUAGACCCUAGAGCGUCGUCCCUUACAAUCGAAUCAAGUUCCAAUGGAACAGAAACAAAAGAGUGAAAACCCAAAGGUAAAGAAAAAACAUAGUUUGCUAAUCCAUCUGCUAGACGAUUAGCUUCCCUAUACACGUGAACAACUCGGACUAUCCAGUCCUUUACGAUAAAGCCAUAACACAAACGUACCAGGAAAAACAGCGGAUGUGAAUCAUUAAUCCCUGUCUGCAAAAACCCAACAACUAAUUCCGAAUCCACCUCCAACUCCACCCUCGUAACUUUCUUCUCCCAAGCAAUAUAAAGACCGUAAUACACACCCCAUAAUUCUGCCAGCGGUGCGGAACAUCUCCCAAUAUCAAACGCGAAUCCUCCACACCAAUUGCCAUCCCCAUCCCGUAAAACUCCUCCUGCAAUAGCCAAACCAUGAUUACCUCUCGAAGCCCCGUCCGUAUUAAGCUUCAUCCAUCCAACCUGUGGAGAAACCCAUCCUAUCAUUCUCUCCACUCGGGCCCGCCUUGGAUUAUGUCCUGCCUUAGAGAUUUUUUUGCCUCAUCUUGUGACACCCUUUAGAACACCCUUAAAAAUUAGAACGUGAAGGCUCAGUUUUGCUCAAUCAAUUGGGGUCUAGGGUUUAAUAAAAGAGAAAUUACAUUUCUGGUCGAUCCCGUUAUUAUGUAGAUAUAUUUUUAUUUGUCACAAUAAUCUUACUUCCAAGACUAAGACGCUGAAUUAGAUUUCUCAAAGCUUGUAGCUCUAUUGAACUCACAUGAUUAAGUAUGAGAAGGACUCUCUGGUGCAUUAUCUUGCGCCAGCUUCCUUGUAGGUACAUAGCUUUUGUUUCUUCACUUCUUCUUUUUAAAAAACUGUAUCCAUUAUUUAAAUACUUCUACCUGCAUAGAACAAAGUAGAGAGAAGAGUCUCAACUCGAGAGGUAAGUCUUGGAGGACUGCAAAGAAAGAUCCACAUAGCAGAGUUAGAACAUUUCGAAGAAGAGUAGUGAUAUGGAUGAAAAAUCUCUUCUGUUUUUGGGUAACCAGGUGAUUGAGCCUCCUAUACUAACUCUGCAUUAUCAUAGUGUGUGCAUCAGUGAGAAUCUGUGUGAUCUCGGCUAAAAGAAGAAGAAUAAUUUGAACCACUUAGUGAUGGAUGCAAAUGUUUAUCCUCUAUCUUUGGACUCCUCAAUGCUCUGUUUUUUUCUUCUUCUUCUCUAAUGAUCUGUUUUAUGUCUUGGUCCAUGUUAAUUUUUUUGCUUAGGCAAGCUAAACAUUAAUAUUUCCAAGCUAACUUUGGUAAUCUAAGCUCAUAAGAACUAAUAUAAAAGCUAGAAAGACUGCAUAGGCAAAAGACCAAGUCUAAAAAGUCGUGAAUGAAGUUAUUGGUAGUCAGACUCAUCAACAAUUUACAAAAAAGCAUAAUUUUAGUAGGAAUGACUAAACAAUAUGUUGGAGAAUCAAGAAGAGAUUAAACAAAUUCAUAAUUUCCUUCCUGUGAUCAUAUUAAUAUAGUGCAUAUAUAUAGUUACUAUGCAUACAAUUGAACCAAACUUAAUAUAUCUUGUCUCACAUUGGAAUAUGAGGGACGCUGAAUGGUUGAUUGAGAGGAGCUAUUUAAGCUAAAGGUCGGUGAGAUUCGAGAAAAAGGAGAGACAAAUAGACCAAUCACCUUUUGAAGAAAGAACAAAAGCAAUUUGCUUAAAAUCUGACAUGUCCUUGGUGGCAUUGAGUGUCAUCCACCCACCUUCAAUCUCCUUGUGUAUACUAAAGUCUAAAGCUAUUAAAGAACCAUAAGAGAGAAUCUUCAAUUAGUCAAAAGCAACUUAGAAAAACAAAAGCCGAAAGUAAGAGAAUUACGUAAUCUGUGACCAGAAAGAGAAACAUAUGAAUGUAUUUCAAUUAACAAACCGAAAAAGGGAAAGCAAAAUGGGAAAACUACAAAAGAAAUAGUAAACAAAGUGUGAAUUGACAGGAGUUGCUUCUAUAUCAAGUUAAGAAUCUCACGUAUUAAAAAAAAAAAAAAUUCUAUGGCUUAACUCAAAAUAUGUAUGGUCGAAAACUAAAAUCUUUACACUCAGUACAAAAAUGAAAAUUCACAAAUUCUUAAACACUGAUUCGAUUGAACAGUUUUGAAUGUGCAUGCAACAACUGCGACAUCUGUCAUAUUUUUCUCCCAUUCUUCAAGUAUCUUCAGUGAAUAUCUCAAUAAAACUACAGUUCAUAUUUACUAUUUUUACAUAUAAACACAAAAACACAGGCUCUUUCCUAUCAGAUGCACCUAAAAUAAUUUAAUUUAACUUGUCCUACUUUUUGAUUCUUUCACACUUUUUUCUU
RNAcentral lists this long non-coding RNA (22384 nucleotides) under Arabidopsis lyrata. Its description in RNAcentral is "long non-coding RNA (ALYR_LNC001233)". Lineage: Eukaryota; Viridiplantae; Streptophyta; Magnoliopsida; Brassicales; Brassicaceae. The record is from RNAcentral.